CACAGCACUCAGCUGUUGCCAAGGAGGUGGAGGGAGUGGCAUGUGGGGACAUCAGAUCGUUGCCUGACGAAAGGAGCUGAUCCCUGUCCAUCCCACAUCCCCUGGUGCCAACUAGGCUUUGAAGGGAUGUUAAGAAAUCCACCCACAG
This is a long non-coding RNA of Lontra canadensis (Northern American river otter), 148 nucleotides long. RefSeq lists it as uncharacterized. The record is from RefSeq and is a predicted model, not a curated record. The transcript has 3 exons. Lineage: Eukaryota; Metazoa; Chordata; Mammalia; Carnivora; Mustelidae.